UUUGCAUGUUUCCUAGAUUUC
RNAcentral lists this non-coding RNA (21 nucleotides) under Caenorhabditis elegans. Lineage: Eukaryota; Metazoa; Nematoda; Chromadorea; Rhabditida; Rhabditidae. The record is from RNAcentral.